RNAcentral lists this ribosomal RNA (229 nucleotides) under uncultured bacterium. RNAcentral's name for it is "partial 16S ribosomal RNA". It matches the Rfam family "Bacterial small subunit ribosomal RNA", at positions 568 to 796 of the family's 1533-position model. The record is from RNAcentral.
UGCGUAGGCGGAAUGAUAAGUUAGUGGUGAAAUCCCUCGGCUCAACCGAGGAACUGCCAUUAAUACUGUCAUUCUUGAGUAUAGUUGAAGUGGGCGGAAUGUAUCAUGUAGCGGUGAAAUGCUUAGAUAUGAUACAGAACACCGAUAGCGUAGGCAGCUUGCUAAACUAUAACUGACGCUCAGGCACGAAAGCGUGGGGAACAAACAGGAUUAGAUACCCUGGUAGUCC